RNAcentral lists this microRNA (21 nucleotides) under Schistosoma japonicum. Its description in RNAcentral is "miRNA-3145". The record is from RNAcentral. Lineage: Eukaryota; Metazoa; Platyhelminthes; Trematoda; Strigeidida; Schistosomatidae.
ACCGGAAUGGUUAGUGUUCGU